GGAGAAGUACUCAAGUAGGCUGAAGAGGACGGUUUGCUAAACCGUUAGGUCGCAAUUAUGCGGCGCGAGGGUUCGAAUCCCUCCUUCUCCGCCA
Molecule: transfer RNA, 94 nt
Filed under: Isachenkonia alkalipeptolytica
Lineage: Bacteria; Bacillati; Bacillota; Clostridia; Eubacteriales; Clostridiaceae
Description: tRNA-Ser
Rfam family: tRNA
About the family: Transfer RNA (tRNA) molecules are approximately 80 nucleotides in length. Their secondary structure includes four short double-helical elements and three loops (D, anti-codon, and T loops).
Source: RNAcentral